RNAcentral lists this ribosomal RNA (253 nucleotides) under uncultured bacterium. Its description in RNAcentral is "partial 16S ribosomal RNA". It matches the Rfam family "Bacterial small subunit ribosomal RNA", at positions 524 to 776 of the family's 1533-position model. The record is from RNAcentral.
UACAGAGGGUGCAAGCGUUAAUCGGAAUUACUGGGCGUAAAGCGCGCGUAGGCGGCUGCUUAAGUCGGAUGUGAAAUCCCCGGGCUUAACCUGGGAACUGCAUUCGAUACUGAGCAGCUAGAGUAUGAGAGAGGGAGGUAGAGUUCCACGUGUAGCGGUGAAAUGCGUAGAUAUGUGGAGGAAUACCGGUGGCGAAGGCGGCCUCCUGGCUUAAUACUGACGCUGAGGUGCGAAAGCGUGGGGAGCAAACAGG